Molecule: ribosomal RNA, 504 nt
Filed under: uncultured bacterium
Lineage: Bacteria
Description: partial 16S ribosomal RNA
Rfam family: Bacterial small subunit ribosomal RNA
Source: RNAcentral
AUUGAACGCUGGCGGCAGGCCUAACACAUGCAAGUCGAGCGGUAGCACAGAGAGCUUGCUCUCGGGUGACGAGCGGCGGACGGGUGAGUAAUGUCUGGGAAACUGCCUGAUGGAGGGGGAUAACUACUGGAAACGGUAGCUAAUACCGCAUAAUGUCGCAAGACCAAAGUGGGGGACCUUCGGGCCUCAUGCCAUCAGAUGUGCCCAGAUGGGAUUAGCUAGUAGGUGGGGUAAUGGCUCACCUAGGCGACGAUCCCUAGCUGGUCUGAGAGGAGGACCAGCCACACUGGAACUGAGACACGGUCCAGACUCCUACGGGAGGCAGCAGUGGGGAAUAUUGCACAAUGGGCGCAAGCCUGAUGCAGCCAUGCCGCGUGUGUGAAGAAGGCCUUCGGGUUGUAAAGCACUUUCAGCGGGGAGGAAGGCGGUGAGGUUAAUAACCUCAUCGAUUGACGUUACCCGCAGAAGAAGCACCGGCUAACUCCGUGCCAGCAGCCGCAGUAA